UGAGAAUGUGACAAGAAAGACAGCUGAUUUCUGCAGGUACUCCUGGCCUCACAGCUGAACGAAAGCGGGUGGCCCAGACAUUGCAGGAUGUUGGUAAACUGUUGAUGCAGACCAUCCUGUAGGGAUUCCUGCAGGCCUACAGUGGGUGGCUGUCUCAGUGUCCACCUUCACAGACUCCCAGUGAGUCCAUAACUUCAGAAUGUCCAGAAACAUUCACCUUUCGCCACAUGUAGGGAACACAUGUGCUGAAUGCACUGAUGAAACAUUUGUUAAUUUAAAAGAAAAUGUGACUGGUGUUCUUACAGAGUUGAAGUGCAUUAACAAUCUGUUAUUUUUAGCUACUCAAUAUGUUUAAUUAUGAUUCAUCUGAUCUUCAGGUUAUUGUGAAAAUGAAUAAAGCUGCAUUCCUUCCAAUCUA
This is a non-coding RNA of Poecilia reticulata (guppy), 418 nucleotides long. NCBI's taxonomy places the organism in Eukaryota, Metazoa, Chordata, Actinopteri, Cyprinodontiformes, Poeciliidae. The record is from RefSeq and is a predicted model, not a curated record.